Molecule: long non-coding RNA, 360 nt
Organism: Amphimedon queenslandica
Lineage: Eukaryota; Metazoa; Porifera; Demospongiae; Haplosclerida; Niphatidae
Exons: 3
Source: RefSeq, a predicted model, not a curated record
CCCACCCUCAGUGCACUAAAGUAGAUCUAUCCAUAGAUAUUUAUGAUCUAUCUAAGUGGGCUACACCGAAUAGUGAUAGCAUCAAAAGCAAAGGCUCCAUUAGCCAGCCAGUUGGUCAGCUUUGCAGCCUACAAGAAAGUAAGGGUCACUAAUUUUCUUAUGAUGAUACUCAUAGGCACAGAUUGGGUCCAAAUUACCAUCAGAUACCAGUUAAUUGUCCUUAUGCAACAUGUACCAGAAACUAUCAACAUGAUGGACCAAUGACAGUUGAUGGUAAUCAAGGUAGCACCAAAUUAUUUUCUAAGCAGUUCAGUGGUCCUGUUGAUAAUCCAGAGUUAUACUAUAUCUCCUAUUACAUGU